Molecule: unclassified non-coding RNA, 230 nt
Filed under: Hevea brasiliensis (rubber tree)
Lineage: Eukaryota; Viridiplantae; Streptophyta; Magnoliopsida; Malpighiales; Euphorbiaceae
Source: RNAcentral
GGGAAGAAGUUGAACAAGGGAAAGAAGUUGAACAGGUACCUACUGGAUUAACCAGAACGCACCAGAGACGUAAAUAAAAGAACCAAUACAUUGAUAUAUCGAAAAAGAAGCUUGCUAAAGUUAAAGGAUACUUUGAGAAAGACGCAGCAUAGAAUGGAGGAGCAGUUGAAGAGAGGGAAGAACGCUUUAGGCAAGCUGCUAGGAAUUGAGGAAGAGCAUAAGAAGGCUAG